Molecule: RNA transcript, 3033 nt
Organism: Strigops habroptila (Kakapo)
Lineage: Eukaryota; Metazoa; Chordata; Aves; Psittaciformes; Psittacidae
Gene: RAB41
Gene name: RAB41, member RAS oncogene family
Exons: 9
Source: RefSeq, a predicted model, not a curated record
GCUGACGUGCCGGUGACGCUGCCGGAAGUGACGCGCAGGGCGGCGGUGGUGCCGGUGUGUGCUCGGCUGUGUCUCCUUCUCCUCAGUCACGGCUCCGGCUCGGCCCCCCCGCUCCGCCAUGUCCGCGCCCGGCAGCGGCGGCGAGUUCGGGAACCCGCUGAGGAAGUUCAAGCUCGUCUUUCUGGGCGAGCAGAGCGUUGGGAAGACCUCUCUGAUCACCAGGUUUAUGUAUGACAGUUUUGACAAUACUUACCAGGCGACCAUUGGAAUUGAUUUCCUGUCAAAAACGAUGUAUCUGGAAGACCGCACGGUUCGGCUGCAGCUUUGGGACACAGCAGGCCAGGAGCGGUUCCGCAGUCUCAUUCCCAGCUACAUCCGCGACUCCACUAUUGCUGUUGUAGUCUAUGACAUUACAAACUUGAAUUCUUUCCAGCAAACCUCCAAGUGGAUUGAUGACGUUCGGACAGAGAGAGGGAGCGAUGUCAUCAUCAUGUUGGUGGGGAACAAAACUGACCUGGCAGACAAGAGACAGGUUUCUAUAGAGGAGGGUGAGAGAAAAGCUCAAGAACUGAAUAUGAUGUAUAUUGAAACCAGUGCUAAAGCAGGAUAUAAUGUGAAACAAGCAAAUCACCACAGAAGAAGGUGAACAGAGAGCCAAAGAGCUGAAUGUGAUGUUUAUUGAGACCAGUGCAAAGACUGGGUACAAUGUGAAACAGCUUUUCCGUCGUGUGGCUGCUGCCUUACCUGGGAUGGACAGCACACCAGAGAAGAGCAAAGAAGACAUGAUUGACAUCAAACUAGAGAAACCUCCUGAGCAGCCAGUAACGGAGAGCGGGUGCUCCUGCUAACAGGCCCGUUCUGUAGCAGCACAUUCCCCAGCCGGCCAGUCUCACUGAAGAACAUCACUGCUCAUUGGCAACCCUACUCUGUGGGCUGAAAAACCAACCUACUAAAGCAAGCGAACUCCCUGUUUACUGGUGGGGAGCAGCCCCGGCCGCCCCUCUUACUGCAUGGUAUGAGCCCUGAGUGCAGAAUGAGUGUCCUGUCUUUUCUUUUCUGUUGUUGCACUUUGGCACUGUGGUGCCCUUUACAGUCUCUCUCUUCAUCUCCUCCUCCCCCUCUUCCCCACCUCGAGCCUCUCCGCUCAGAUAUAUCUCGUGAAUGCAAUUGGAAAACCCACCAAGUUAGGGAAGACAAAAAUAAAGCUUGGGGGUGGGCUUUCCACCUUCCUCACUGCCUUGCAUCUUACCCUGGUUCCCUGGCCACUCCAGCCGUGUCUUUGUCCUGCAUCCCCACUUCCUCUGUUGAAAGGCUGCUCCUUUUAAACCGGUCAGUUUGACUUGGCCUUGCCUUUUUGGACAAUACAGGUUAUCUGUUUCUAGGCUUUUGCUUCCUGCAGGGCACACACAAUGUUAGCUCCUCAGUUUCUCCUUUCUGUGGAUGAUCUUGGCUAACUCUUGCUCAUGACUUCUGAGUUUUGCCCCUCGUGUCACACACAGCACUGGAAAACCCCAAACUCUGAUAGCUUUGGCCUUGUUGCUCCCAUUUGUGUAGCAGAGACAUCCCACAGACCACUCUCCUCAGUUGGAUUAUCUUCCCAUCCAGAGGACGUUGGCGCUUGGUGAGUGUUGGCUGUCAGAUGUGGGGAAGGAAAAGGAUAUAGAGGCUUUGCAGCAUGAAGCUGGGUGGCGAAGAGACCCUCAGGGUGGUUUGUAGAGACCUGAGUCCUGUCUAUCUACAGCAAAAGUGAGCAGUUACCUGAAAUCCAUUGCUAAAGGGACAGUACCUCCCCUGGGAGCCAUGGAUGCUGCUCAGGAUCCUUUUCUGGUUUCUGUUCUCCUGUUCACAUAGGAUGGGAGAUUCUUCACGUGGAGCAGGAGAGCUGCAGCAGAAUGAAGGCCAGUGAGAGCUGUUAUACUCCCAUGCCUAGGUUGGUGCUUGAUGAAGUCAUACACAUAGCUGCUUCUCCUUUUGUAGUAGGCUUCUGGGAAUAGGGCUAGUAGCCACUUCACUUUUGGGGUAGUUUUAAGCUGCAACAUUGCCAAAGCUGAGAUGAGCAGUGGCAGGGAUCUACUGUCAGACCCAGGCAGAGGAAUGAAGGAUUGUAUGCUGCUGAGGUGAAUUUUGGUCUCACUUUUUGACCUUGAAGGUUGGGAAAUACAUCCUCUUCCUCCUGCCCCUGGUUUCUGAUUCUGUUAAUAGAGCCCUGGGGGUUUUUUACCAUCUGUCCUAACCACAAGCCAGUAGGUCUGUUGAAAGAGAUGAGAAUAAAACAGUCGGAUGGUGGAAAGCCAUCCACUGUUCUUUUCAUCAGCCAGCCUAUGUCAUGCUGACAGGGAGGAUGCUAGUGGGCAGGAGAGUGACGGACCAUGGUGUGACGGGUGGGGGCACCAGUAUUUGGUGGUGGUGACACUCCCCCAGCACAUGGCCCUUGGUCACUGACACAGCGUGCGCACUUUGAAGCCUGCGGGCCCUCGAGGGAGGGGAAGAGGCAGCCUUAGCUGGGACCUGGCUUAGUGUCCCCUCACUGCUGGUGACAGACCUGUUGUUCCCCAGAGCCCUGUCCCUUCCACUCCAGGUGAGCUGGCGUGCAGGAGGAAGCUGGGAUGUGGUUUCCCUUUUCACUCUGGAGAGUCCCCCCUUUCCCACGGUCCGGGAAGCUCAGUCCCCUCCUCUGUACAUACCCCUGUUGUGUGGGAAUUGCUGAUGUUUGUUGGUGUGUCCGUGUCUGCUGUAGAACAGGUUUUGCUGUCCCCUUCUCACAGGCAGGUGUGCACUGCCCUGCUGUUGUGUUGUUCAGUCACGGACCUGGGGGGAGGGAGGGAGGAGACCCUAAGUAACGGGGAGGGGGGGUAAUUAGUGAAAUGAAAUAGGUCACUUCCCACUGUCUUCUCUAUGGAUGUGUAUAAUAUUGAGUGUGUGUCUGGCCCUGCUGUCUCCUAGCUGUUAGCUGAGUAAGUGUGACUAUUACUAUGAGUAUGGACUGUCUGACCACAGCUGUGUAUCACACUAAAUAAAGUUAUUUCACCAACA